Long non-coding RNA from Dermochelys coriacea (leatherback sea turtle), 7961 nucleotides. RefSeq lists it as uncharacterized. The record is from RefSeq and is a predicted model, not a curated record. Lineage: Eukaryota; Metazoa; Chordata; Testudines; Dermochelyidae. The transcript has 3 exons.
UCAAGAUCCCAGACAACUUGUCUUAUCUCAACUAUAAAAGAUUAACCAAAUCGAGUGCAAUUGUUCUGGAACAAGAUAACACUCUCAACAGACUCUGGGUCGGCAGAGGCAGUGUCAGGCUCUAUUCUGAAAAUGCAACUCAGCACUUAGCCGAGGCUGACAAUUGAUAUUCUGCUCUAGCCUAUGGAUAAUUCCACAGAGAACUCUUUCAAAAUGGCUGCCAUCACCUAUUGCUUUUAAGGUCACUGGUGCACUCAUCUUUCAAAAUGGCCACCACCUCUCACUACUCCCAGUGAGAAUGAAGCCAAGCUGGCCUCAAGAAAAGUAAUGAUUCAUGACAUCACACGUUCUGAGAACUGUCAGCUCCCACUGAAGUCCCAUUCAUGGGCUCACUGCCUCUUCUGCUGGUUUUCCAAUCUCUGCUCUGGAGCACACCAUGUCCCCUAUUUGACUCUUCUGAUGUACCUCAGGAACAGCCAGUCAGCACAGAACUUCAGUACACAGGAAAUAAAAGAUCUCCAUGCCCCUCAAGAUUGGCCUGUUAAUGACUGAAAGGUCGGAAGAUAAAUGACAAUAAUUUAAAGAAGUGGUGUCCAAGGGCCAAUUGAUCUCCUGGACAGCUCUUCAAGCCGCCCUCGAUGUGGUGGAUGCAGCGGCCAGACCCACAGCCACGGCCAUCGUCAUGCGGCAAGCCUCAUGGUUUGCUUCUUCCUCCUUUCCCAAGGAGAUACAGAACACUGUUGAAGAUCUCCCCUUCGUGGGGACAAGCUCUUCGUCUCUACAACCAAUGAGGUCCUUCACUCCAUGAAGGACUCGCGUCCCACACUCUGAUCCUUAGGCAUCCAAACACCUGUCACAAAGAGCAGACAAUAUACAUAUCAGCCAUACCAAUGACCGUGUUACCAUCCCUUUGUGCAACAUCCACCUUUAAGGCAAUGUGAUAUGCAACAACAACAAUGACAUAGACCCAGGAACCAAUGACGUCACCCUCCGCAAACAACGGCGACCCACCCUCCUAAUCCAAAUAAACAAAUUUGAAGUCUUGGUUGAGGGUAUAGAAAACCUCACACCGUCUCCAGCACCAACUCCAACCACCCAUUUCUUUGGACACCGUUUGCAUCCGUUCCUUGCCAGCUGGGAAACCAUCACUAUGGACAGAUGGGUUCUGGAAAUAAUCAGAUCAGGUUAUGCCAUCCUUUUCCUCUCCUUGUCACCCUCCCACCCCAUCCCUCUUCAGGGACCCCUCGCACGAACAAUUGCUCCGUCAGGAGUUGCAACACCUCAUGCAUCUCAGAGCAAUAGAGAAGGUACCCCCUCAACACAGAGGGAAAGGGUUUUACUCCCACUAUUUCUUGAUGGAAAAGAAAAAUGGUGGAUGGUGCCCUAUCCUCGAUCUUUGAUGUUUGAACAAGUUUGUCAAGAAACAGACAUUCCGGAUGGUUACUCUCCCACUGACAAUUCCAACGCUGGAGCAAGGAGAUUUGGUUUUCAACCCUCAGCUUCCAAGACGCAUAUUUCAAUGUUUCUAUCCACCCUGCCCUUCGAUGUUUCCUCAGAUUUGCCAUGGGAGUGCAACACGACCAAUACAGAGUCCUCCCAUUUGGCCUCUCCACAGCACCACAUGUCUUCUCAAAGGUGCUAGCAGUUGUAAUAGCACAUCUCAGAAAAAAAGGGAUAGUCAUUUUUCUUUAUCUGGACAAUUGUCUCCUCAAGUCCCCCACUCAAUUAGAAGUGAACCAUGCACCUUUUACAACCCUUCACUGCUUCUGCACCUUGGGUCUGCAAAUAAACAAAAGAAAAUCUACCUUACAACCUACCCAAUAAAUUGACUUCAUCAGCACCCAUCUCGAUUACACCACCGGUCUUGCAUCUCUUCCCCAGGACAGAUUCCACACAAUGGGCACUCUUAUUACCCAGAUACAUUCUAGUCCACAGACUUCAGUCCGAGACUCCCUGCAGCUCUUAGGACAUCUGGCCGCUUGCACAUUUGUGGUUGCAAAUGCUCACAUGUACAUGCGAUGCCUCCAGGGUUGGCUAGUCAGUAUACAAGCCAAACACGCACAGACCUCUCCCAUCAACCUCUGUAUUGGGAUUCCCUUCCAACAAGAUCCCCUUCAAUUACCAUCACUACAGAUGCAUCUCUCACAGGAUGGGGUGCACACAUGGGCCACCUCACCACUCAGGGCCUCUGGUCUACUUCGGAAACCAAGCUUCACAUAAAUUUGCUAGAGCUCAGGGCCGUAUGCAAUGCCUGCCUCCAUUUCCUUCCCAUCAUCCAAAACCACCGAAUUUGAAUCAUGACCGACCACAUCAUGUGCAUGUUUUAUGUCAGCAGACUGGGGGAGCCCGGUCCCACUCCCUCCGCACAGAGGCGGUAAAACUUUGGAACUGGUGCCUUCAACACAAUAUCUAUCUCUCCACAUCAUAACUGCCAGAUUCUCAGAACACCACUGCAGAUGAGCUCAGCCAGUCGUUUCUGAAUGUUGGCCAUUCUUUCCAACAUUUUCCAGAUCUGGGGUUAUCCCCAACUGGAUCAAUUUGCCACAGCAACAAACAAAAAAGUGUCAUUAUUUGGCUGGAGUCUGUUUUCCUCUACACUCUGUUAAAGUUGAACUGUAAAGAAUUUUUAAAGAAUUGGAUCUGAGCCUUUCUAUGCUUAUUUAUUUUGUAUUAUGGUGGCACCUUGAAGUUCCAACUUAGAUAUGGGUCCCAUAGUACACCUACAUAGUAAAAUACUCUCUGCUCUGUGGAGCUGACAAUCUAAGUAAAUGGUACAGACAUAUGGUAGUUGGGGAAACAGACGCACAGAGAGGUGUGACCCUGGGCAAGUCCCUUCACAGUAGGCCAGCGGCAGAGCCAGGAAUAGAAGCUAGAAUUCCUGAUUCCUAGUGCAGUGCUCUAUCCACUAGAGUUCUCUGCCUCUCUGAUUUCUAAAGAAAGGUAACAAAAGCUGUUUUAAAAAAAAAAUUACUGCUUAGUUCUACCUUUUAGAAAUAUCAGGAAUGUGAAGUCUGGUCUUCCCUGGUUUUGUGGGAGGGCUCUUCUGAGGAUCAAGGAAUAUUUAUUGUGAGCUCUAAUACCUUAUUUGAAGGGAUGAAGGUGUUGAAUCUUUAACAAAGUCUUUCUUAUCCCAGAUAUUAAUUAGUUAUUGAAGUUCUACUGAUGUUAACAAAAACUAGCAUGAAGAGCUUGAAACAGUUUGAGUAACACCCCUUUCUUUCUCAAUUGCUCAAUUUUCACGCUCUUGUCUUCUGUGACAUCAGGCUAGGCAGAGAAAAUAUUUAAGUCACAAAUGGGUUGAGACUCAUCAUACUCUGCUAAACUCUUAGCAGAUGACAAUGAAGCAUGAACAGUGUGAUUUUCCCCCCCCCCCAUUGUUUUUAACUUCUAUAUUUUCUCCACCUCAGUGAAGAGACUAGUUCUCAAGGGGAAAUGUCACUGACAAGUGUCAGAUGUCUAACUUAAUCCAUUUUUGCUGUAGCUGUGUUCAAAACAUUUGGUGAGAAUUUUUUCAUAAGAGGAAAACUAUUAUUUUUUAUUUUCACACUCACUGAAACCAAACAGAAGAGAUUUUGCUCAAACUUAAAAUCACCUUCAAAGUUCAUAAAUGGAAAAUUUCAGCACAAAGGUGUAUGUUGUGGAAAGACUUGAAUGAAUUAAAACAAGAAGUCAUAAUGGAAACUCUUCUGCAACUUCAUAGUGUUCACUGCAGGCUAUGGCUAUAAUGCAUUGUAUUUAUUUAGAGCUUUGUAGUUUUCCCCUAUUAGGGAAAAUAUCAGGAAGACAGAACUUGCAAUGGUAACUCUGAAUGUCAAACUGUUUUGAAGUGGCUGGCUGAUGGAGGGUGAACAAAGGUUAAUGUAUAUAGGAGAACUCCUUGAUUUGCACCUUUCCAUUUUCUAAAAGCUAUUGCCAAAAAUGAUAUAUUGCCCUAUAGGCUGUGUUCUUUUGUAGCCAUAGUGACUGUUUACAGUUGUUUUUUUGUGUUGGGUUAGUGGAUGAAGGACAGGUAGAAUAAGGGAUGGACUUAGCUACUUUUGCAUUUUGUGGAAACGUAGGGCUCGUCUUCAGUACUGGGGAGAUUGAUGCUGCUGCAAUUCAUGCAGCAGGUGUCGAUUUAGUGGGUCUAGUGAAGACCUGCUAAAUCGAUGGCAGAGCACUCUCCGGUCGACUCUAGUACUCUAGCUCACCGAGAAGAGUAAGGUAAGUCAACCGGAGAGUGUCUUCUGUCAACGCAGCACAGUGAAGACACAGCAGUAAGUCUACCUAAGCUACGUUGACUCCAGCUACAUUAUUCACGUAGGUGGAGUAGCGUAACUUAGGUCGACUUACUCCGGUAGUGAAGAUAAGCCCUUAGUGAAAACAUGGUGCAUUUUAUACUAGGGUUGACAAAAGGAAUAUUCUAUGUAAUAUAGAUAUAUAAGAAAGGAAUGUGCUUUCUGCUGGCUUCAUAAACAGAUGUUAGCUCACUUGUUCUCAGCCAGAAACUAUGAUAUUAGUGAUGAGAUUUCCUGGGGGAAAAAAACUUCCUUAGCAUUUGAGAAAAACAGCACACAGCUCAGAGUGUCCUCAGAAUCAGUUGGAUGAGGAUCGAUUUGGCCUGCCACAAAGGAAAAGUAGAUUCUUCACUGGCAACACCUGAAAGGAAAUGUGAGUGUUGACUACAGCAUUUACUACUGAAGCAAAUAGCAGUGGAGAACCUAGAGACAGGUUUUAUAAUAUGAGGAGAAAGCUGGAUGAGACUAGGAGGUAUAGACUGCAGAACACCUGGAUAUGAAAGGUGAUUUUUAGACGUGGUAGACAGUCUUCUUACUUAAUCUAUCUCUGUGUUGAAAGAAAUUUUAGCGAGAAGACAGUCUGCAAAAUAAAAUAUUUCUUCGGAACUGGAUAGAUAAAGCACAAAGCCAGGUCAAUAUUCCACAGCUAGUGAAGUGGAGGAAAUCAAUAUCACAUAUAUUCAAGAGUACGUUACACUCUGCUAUUCUGACUCCAUUAAGCAGACCACUAAUGAAGGACUACAGUACAAUCAGUAUCAGGAACAGGAUUUUAAUUCUGCCUCUUCAACACUGAUUUAAUAAUCCUUUGAUGACAAAGAGAUGAUGUGGCAUGAGAACAGGAUGGACUUUCACCUAUGCAGCCCAGUCUACCUGAGAUCCUAAAGCCAUUGGGCCAGAAGCUCAGCUGGUGUGAACUGAAGUCAGUAGAGCUAUGCUGAUUCACAAAUGAGCAUCUGGCUUAAUGGGUUUAGUGCUUUUUAGAUCAAUCCUAGAAAUCUGCUCAAAUGGGGAUGGAUCAUCCAUUGUAAAACACUGGUAGAAAAUGCGGAGAAUCUUGCCUUACAGUUGCUUUCCUUGUGCUUGGGAACAUGGGACAAUCUGGCAUCAAGUUUUGCUGUUUUCUGCAGACUUACUUUUCGAAAAGUGAUGUGUAACUGCUCCGUCAAAGGAAAAGUGUUAAUACAAAGAAGACUAAAUCUCUCUCUGUGUGCCUCAAAUAUAACUUAAAAGGAAUAUUUAACGAUCAUUAAAAAAGUCAUUAAAAAAGCUGCUGGCUUGACAGCCAGAUUAUCUACACAAGAAACCUAAUUCUCUACUGCCCUGCACCGUGUGCACAUAUUUACAGCUGUACUAAAUGAUUGUAAAUGCUUCACAGGGGUUCUCAAACUUCAUUGCACCAUGCCCCCCUUCUGAUAACAAAAAUUACUACAUGACCCUGAGGGAGGGCUGAAGCCUGAGCCUGCCAGAGCCCCGUCACCCUGGGAGGAGGAUGGGGAGGAGGGAUGGGCAGCAAAGCUGAAGCCUAAAGGCUUCAACUCUGGGCUUGGGGCCUGUAACCUGAGCCCUGUCACCCAGGCCUGAAACCCUCAGACUUCGGCUUUGGCCCCUGGCCAUGGGGCUUGGGCUUCUGCCCUGGAAUCCAGCAAGUCUAAUGCCUGCUGUGGUGCCCCCAUUAAAACGGGGUCAUGACCCACUUUGGGGUUCCGACCUGCAGUUUGAGAACUGCUGUGCUACUAAAUCAGAAUGGUGGCAUUUUUACACUCAGUUUCCAUUAGCAUUGCACAGAUGUAAAUGUCUAGGUACAAAAUGGUGGAGAAUCCUAGGCCAGAGAGAUGGAAGUUUGAGUGUGUGUGUGCGUGUCGGGGGGGACACUUCCAAGGUAAGCUUUGUUGUUGUUUUCUUAAAAAGAGAAUAUACAACAGCUGUGAAAAUCUCUUGUGUUUUAUGCUAUAACUCAUUCCCCUUUGCCCCAUCACGAGAACUGGCGCCUAGCUAUAACUGAGAAUCUGGCUCCUGUUGUCCAGGUUAGUUAGAUACAUGCUGCCACUGUCACACUGACCAGCAGCAGCAACUCUGGCAUGAUUCAUGACUUUCUCACACACCUUAGCUGAAUAUCAAGAUGUUUGAAAAAGCGAUCUGAAAAAUUCCACUUGCCUGUCCAGAAAAAAAAUUAUUUGCCCCAGGAGACCAGGCAAAUGGAAAACUGUAAGACUCAUUGAAAAAAAGCUGCAAAUGUUUAUUGCAGGCAGUAGUGUUCCUUACCCUGAGUAGUCCUAUUGAAGUGAAAGGGAUUUCUUAUGGUAAUAAGCUCAACAAUUAGCUGUGUUUGCAGACUAGGGACAUAUAAGAUUUCCUGCCAUAUGAAGGGCAGAGCUAUUUGGCAAGCCUGCACACUUCCUUAAAUAAAAACACUAUUGAAUAAUGUUGCAGCCAUGUGUUUGUUGUAAUCCAUCAGAUAAGUUAAAUAAAUCUGGAAGGGCAUAUGAUAAAAUGAAUAAGAGAAAUAAUGUUUAAACAAAUGAGUCCUGUGGUAUCAAUUGAAUAAAGAAGCAACAAAAGUGAUUAAUAGUUUGUUAUAAUGAAGUCACUGGCAUUUAAUAAGCUAUUGACUUUUUCACCAUCUUACUGAAAAUGUUUUAUAAUGUAGAAAAAUACACACAUAAUGCAAUAUUGAUUAAGGAUGAAUUUAUAAAUUUGGAUUCUAGAUUCUGUGUCUAGGGGCCAGAAAGCUGUUUCUUCAGGAGUAUUGAUUGUUCUGUAGCCAUCCAAAGAGAUAUUCAAGGUGUAGUUUUUGUUAGAAAAAUGGUUUAUUUAGAAUGACCCUAUAAGUCAAAGGGCCAAAUCCUAAUUGCUUUUCACAUGGGAUUUGGCCUAUUGACUUCACUAGGACUACUCAAAUGAGCAAGGCAAGAAGGAUUCAAUCCAAAAGAAAAAUAACUAGAUGGGACUGUAAGUGAGAGGAGUCUACAGCUGGGCUGAUUCAGCAGCUAGCUUUUUGUGUGUGUGUCCCUUCUGCUCUGCCAGAGCAGGGCAAAGAAUCUGGCCCAUUGUUCUGAUUCAUAACAUCCUGCUACAAUAAAAGAUCAGAUUCAGUUCCAGUGACUGUAUCAUUUAUUGCUGCAUUCACUUGUUUGACUUUAGCUGAAUACUAUUGCCAAGUAUUUGUUAAACACUAAAACAAGUCAUUUGGUUCACUCCCAGUAAUAAUACAUAUUUGUUUUAGAGAAGUACUUGCAAGACUUUAAUGGUUGUAAAGGGUUUUGAGAUGCUCAGAUGAAAGGCACUGAAUAAAUCCAAAGUAUUAGGAUAUAAACAAUAGUAAGUCUGAAUGGACUCCUUCUCACCCUCAAUUGUAAAUAAAGUAUUAGAUGAGUGCAACAUAAUAUAUAUUUUCAGUAGACUGCCUACCUAGCUACCUACCGUGUGUGCAUACAUGUAUGCAGUAAAUGAAUAUACACACACAAAACCAUAGGUUCUGUAAACGUACACAUCGGCAAACAUUGAUACAUAUAUGAACAUAAUACAGAUAUUCUUAAUAAUAAAAACAUCUAUCAUACCACAUUCUAAACAACAAUAAUUAAAAUAGAGAUUUGUAAGGUCUAAUGUUGGGGUGCCUGGACACGUUUUACAUAAAUGGAAAUAGUGCAUUGUGAAUUAACAGAGUAUUGUUGCUGUUUAUCAGAA